This 468-nucleotide ribosomal RNA is filed under the name uncultured bacterium. Its description in RNAcentral is "partial 16S ribosomal RNA". It matches the Rfam family "Bacterial small subunit ribosomal RNA", at positions 28 to 507 of the family's 1533-position model. The record is from RNAcentral.
GACGAACGCUGGCGGCGUGCUUAACACAUGCAAGCCGAACGGAAAGGCCCUGCUCUUGUGUGGUGCUCGAGUGGCGAACGGGUGAGUAACACGUGAGUAACCUGCCCUCGACUUUGGGAUAACUUCAGGAACCUGGGGCUAAUACCGGAUAGGAGCUUCUGCUGCCUGGUGGGGGUUGGUAAGUUUCGGCGGUUGGCGAUGGACUCGCCGCUUAUCAGCCUGUUGGUGGGGUAGUGGCUUACCAAGGCUUUGACGGGUAGCCGGCCUGAGAGGGUGACCGGCCACAUUGGGACUGAGAUACGGCCCGGACUCCUACGGGAGGCAGGAGUGGGGAAUAUUGCACAAUGGGCGGAAGCCUGAUGCAGCAACGCCGCGUGCGGGAGGACUGCCUUCGGGUUGUAAGCCGCUUUCGCCUGUGACGAAGCGUGAGUGACGGUAAUGGGUAAAGAAGCACCGGCUAACUACGUG